AUUGAACGCUGGCGGCAUGCUUUACACAUGCAAGUCGAACGGUAACAGGGUGCUUGCACCGCUGACGAGUGGCGAACGGGUGAGUAAUGCGUCGGAACGUGCCGAGUAGUGGGGGAUAACGCAGCGAAAGUUGUGCUAAUACCGCAUACGUACUGAGGUAGAAAGCGGGGGACCUUCGGGCCUCACGCUAUUCGAGCGGCCGACGUCUGAUUAGCUAGUAGGUGAGGUAAAGGCUCACCUAGGCGACGAUCAGUAGCGGGUCUGAGAGGAUGAUCCGCCACACUGGGACUGAGACACGGCCCAGACUCCUACGGGAGGCAGCAGUGGGGAAUUUUGGACAAUGGGCGAAAGCCUGAUCCAGCCAUGCCGCGUGUCUGAAGGAGGCCUUCGGGUUGUAAAGGACUUUUGUCGGGGAGGAAAUCCCCAGCGUUAAUACCGCUGGGGGAUGACAGUACCUGAAGAAUAAGCACCGGCUAACUACGUGCCAGCAGCCGCCGUAA
This 500-nucleotide ribosomal RNA is filed under the name uncultured bacterium. RNAcentral describes it as "partial 16S ribosomal RNA". It matches the Rfam family "Bacterial small subunit ribosomal RNA", at positions 30 to 523 of the family's 1533-position model. The record is from RNAcentral.